ACUUCCCAUGCUGGCCUCACAGUGCAGCUACGUAAUGAGGGCAGGACGGACGCACACACACACGCACGCACGCACACACACACAUGGGGCCAAGCACGGCCCCACGGCUGAUUAGCGGCACACAAAGGCCCCAAACAGAAGUAGCAGAGGAUGCACAAUGGGAGCAGGGCCUCAAGGCGUGGUUUACUCCUGCCCCGAGGGAGGGGGCGAGAGAGGUAGAGAGACAGUGAGAGAGUGAGGGUCCCAAGGGGCUCAACCAGCAAAAAUGGACGGGGGGCUUGGUGGGGUUCGGGAAAGUGCCAAAAGCAGAGUUUUGUUUUUGUCUCGAUAAAGACAUGCAGCUCACAGCAGAAACAGAAUAAAUCAACAUCACGGCUUCGUUUAGCAGAACGUUAAAUGACAAAAAAAGUGCAACAAGACAGAA
Molecule: long non-coding RNA, 424 nt
Organism: Thalassophryne amazonica
Lineage: Eukaryota; Metazoa; Chordata; Actinopteri; Batrachoidiformes; Batrachoididae
Exons: 2
Source: RefSeq, a predicted model, not a curated record